AACGAACGUUGGCGGCAUGGAUUAGGCAUGCAAGUCGCGGGAAUCCAGCAAUGGGGAACCGGCGUAAGGGGCAGUAAGGCAUGGGUACCUACCUCGGGGUUCGGGAUAGCCACCAGAAAUGGUGGGUAAUACCGGAUGACCUCGUGAGAGCAAAGGUCCGCCGCCCUGAGAGGGGCCCAUGUGAUAUUAGCUAGUUGGUGAGGUAACGGCUCACCAAGGCGAAGAUGUCUAGCGGGNGCGAGAGCACGACCCGCGCCACUCGCACUGAGACACUGGCGAGACACCUACGGGUGGCUGCAGUCGAGGAUCUUCGGCAAUGGGGGCAACCCUGACCGAGCGAUGCCGCGUGAGCGAUGAAGG
This 360-nucleotide ribosomal RNA is filed under the name uncultured bacterium. RNAcentral's name for it is "bacterial SSU rRNA". It matches the Rfam family "Bacterial small subunit ribosomal RNA", at positions 29 to 414 of the family's 1533-position model. The record is from RNAcentral.